Molecule: ribosomal RNA, 887 nt
Filed under: Valenzuela flavidus
Lineage: Eukaryota; Metazoa; Arthropoda; Insecta; Psocodea; Caeciliusidae
Description: SSU rRNA
Rfam family: Eukaryotic small subunit ribosomal RNA
Source: RNAcentral
GUAGUGGACGAAAAAUAACGAUGCAGAACUCAUUCCGAGGCUCUGCAAUCGGAAUGAGUACACUCUAAAUCAUUUAACGAGUAUCCAUUGGAGGACAAGUCUGGUGCCAGCACCCGCGGUAAUUCCAGCUCCAAUAGCGUAUAUUAAAGUUGUUGCGGUUAAAAAGCUCGUAGUUGGAUCUGUGUUUCACGCUGACGGUUCACCGUUUUGUCGGUGUUUAACUGUCAUGUCGUGGUACGUCCUGCCGGUUGGCAUGUUUGUUGGUGCGCUUUCGGGUGUGCCAGCGGCUGCCAGUUCCAAUCCUGUCGCGGUGCUCUUCACCGAGUGUCGAGGCGGGCCGGCACGUUUACCUUGAACAAAUUUGAGUGCUUCAAGCAGGCUAUAAUUGCCGGAAAACUGUGUGCAUGGAAUAAUAUAAUAGGACCGCGGUUCUAUUUUGUUGGUUUUCAGAGUCCGAGGUAAUGAUUAAUAGGGACCGGCGGGGGCAUUAGUAUUGCGACGUUAGAGGUGAAAUUCUUGGAUCGUCGCAAGACUAACCUAAGCGAAAGCAUUUGCCAAGGAUGCUUCCAUUAAUCAAGAACGAAAGUUAGAGGUUCGAAGGCGAUCAGAUACCGCCCUAGUUCUAACCAUAAACGAUGCCAGCCAGCGAUCCGUCGCAGUUCCUCCGAUGACUCGACGGGCAGCUUCCGGGAAAUUAAAGCAUUUGGGUUCCGGGGGAAGUAUGGUUGCAAAGCUGAAACUUAAAGGAAUUGACGGAAAGGCACCACCAGGAGUGGAGCCUGCGGCUUAAUUUGACUCAACACGGGAAAUCUCACCAGGCCAGAACACUAGAUGGAUUGACAGAUUGAGAGCUCUUUCUUGAUUUAGUGGGUGGUGGUGCAUGGCCG